Molecule: non-coding RNA, 534 nt
Organism: Microcebus murinus (gray mouse lemur)
Lineage: Eukaryota; Metazoa; Chordata; Mammalia; Primates; Cheirogaleidae
Source: RefSeq, a predicted model, not a curated record
CCUGGGGCGGUCGGGCAGGCAGCGGUCGGGGAAAGUUGGUCUCCGAGCGUCAUGUACUACAAGUUUAGUGGCUUCACGCAGAGGUUGAUGGGAGCAUGGGCUUCGGACGCAUAUAGUCCGCAGGGAUUAAAGCCUGUGGUUUCCACAAAAGCACCACCUAUCAUAUUUGCCACACCAACUAAACUGACCUUUGAGUCUACGUAUGAUUAUGCUGGGAAAAACAAAGUUCCAGAGCUACAGAAGUUUUUCCAGAAAUCCGAUGGUGUGCCUGUCCACCUGAAACGAGGCCUGCCUGACCAAAUGCUUUACCGGACCACCAUGGCGCUGACUGUGGGAGGGACCAUCUACUGCCUGAUUGCCCUCUACAUGGCUUCACAACCCAAAAACAAAUGAGUUAGGCUGCAGAGGACUGGUUUGCUAUUUGGCAUUAACCCUUUGAAUUUCCAUUUUCAUUGUUUCUGUUAAAUUUUUUUUUUUUUUUACUUGGAUGGCCUGGCAUACUUAAUGUUUUUGUAAGAAAAACAAAGAUAUGAA